UACGUAGGGUGCAAGCGUUAAUCGGAAUUACUGGGCGUAAAGCGUGCGCAGGCGGUUGGGCAAGUCAGAUGUGAAAUCCCCGGGCUUAACCUGGGAACUGCAUUUGUGACUGCACGGCUAGAGUGCGGCAGAGGGGGAUGGAAUUCCGCGUGUAGCAGUGAAAUGCGUAGAUAUGCGGAGGAACACCGAUGGCGAAGGCAAUCCCCUGGGCCUGCACUGACGCUCAUGCACGAAAGCGUGGGGAGCAAACAGG
RNAcentral lists this ribosomal RNA (253 nucleotides) under uncultured bacterium. RNAcentral describes it as "partial 16S ribosomal RNA". It matches the Rfam family "Bacterial small subunit ribosomal RNA", at positions 524 to 776 of the family's 1533-position model. The record is from RNAcentral.